CCAACCCAUUUAAUUUGUCAUUGUCUUCAUUGGAGGUCUGUCACCUUUGCAACACCGAUUACGGUUGUGGUCAGCGGGCGUAGGUAUGGGCGGAGACGAACAAUGGCGGCCUGGAAUUUAUAAUUGCUAGCAUCAUGAAGAAGUUCUUCACGUUCUUUGGGUCGCUUUCGUUCUUGCCAUCAUUGAAUUUGAGAUAGUUGCAGCUCUCUCUCCCUCCUAUCGCCACCGCCAAGAUCCUCCAUCAGUUCCUCAAGAUCACAAGAUGACGGCGUUUCCUUCUGAUUGAAUCAUCUACGAUCCAGACAAUACAAUCCAUCAGGUUUUAUUUGCUUUCAAUGCCCCUGUAUUUGACGACCCUGAUGUCACAAUUAUUGGUGGUGGAAUGUCGAGUCUUCAUUGUGUUGGAGAUACAAAAAGCAAUCGUGAAAUAUAAUAUAAAAAGCAAGAAAGAAAGUGCGUUUGAG
Molecule: long non-coding RNA, 464 nt
Organism: Helianthus annuus (common sunflower)
Lineage: Eukaryota; Viridiplantae; Streptophyta; Magnoliopsida; Asterales; Asteraceae
Exons: 3
Source: RefSeq, a predicted model, not a curated record